Pogonomyrmex barbatus (red harvester ant) is the source of this 554-nucleotide long non-coding RNA. RefSeq lists it as uncharacterized. The record is from RefSeq and is a predicted model, not a curated record. Lineage: Eukaryota; Metazoa; Arthropoda; Insecta; Hymenoptera; Formicidae.
AUCUGCUUCAAUAACUCGAAAGUGCACGCGUGACGGGUAUCCUGGUCGCGAAAAGCCUUGUAGUGCUCGGCGGUACUAUCGGUUGUGUGAGCCUUGUUCCUGGUUGAAAAUCGUGCAUCCUUAUGUCUGAAGGUUUUCAUCAAGGACGCAACGGAUCGUCGUUAAUUAACUAUAAUCAGUCUCUUUGUGCGUAGACCAUUUCGGAUGACCUUCGUUGAGCAAGUAGGAGAGCGAUGUCAAUUAUACCCUGUAUAUGCAUACGAGCGAAGGCGCCGCUCCUGGAUCUGAUUUACAUGUCAUUUUCCAUUUUCGCUUAAGUAUAGCUCGACUAUGUUAUCUUCAUCUGAAAAGAUUACGCUUAAAGGUAUAUAAAUACCGGCUUUGCGAAUCUAUGAAUAUGGAGCAGUGUUACGAUAAAAUUGUGUAAUUUUCUUUAAAAAUAAGUAUAACAAGGAAGAUGAAAAAUAUAGCAAAGGAAAGGUAAAAGAACCAGAAUAAAACGUCUGAAUAAAAUCGACAAGCGGGACAUACAGAUUAUCCGCUUCACUGACGCA